RNAcentral lists this ribosomal RNA (28 nucleotides) under Didymella microchlamydospora. RNAcentral's name for it is "partial 28S ribosomal RNA". The record is from RNAcentral. Lineage: Eukaryota; Fungi; Ascomycota; Dothideomycetes; Pleosporales; Didymellaceae.
CUGGAACUGGGAUCAGGUAGAGAUACAC